UGUCGACCCUGCAAGCAGAAGGACCCGCGAACAAGUGAAAGCUAUCAUGGGUGGCGGAGCCUUUGGGCUAGCUGCCCAACGUCCGGGCUUAGGGGCUGUGGGAAACUGCAACCCCUUUGCUCGGGCACACUAAACGAACCCCGGCGCGAAUUGCGCCAAGGAACCAAAAGAAGAUGUGCGCUCCCCUCGUCCCGGAAGCGGUGCUGGGGGGAGAUUGCAUCGUCGUUGAUAUCACAUAUGAAACGACUCUCGGCAACGGAUAUCUCGGCUCUCGCAUCGAUGAAGAACGUAGCGAAAUGCGAUACUUGGUGUGAAUUGCAGAAUCCCGCGAACCAUCGAGUUUUUGAACGCAAGUUGCGCCCGAAGCCGUCAGGCCAAGGGCACGCCUGCCUGGGUGUCACGUAACGUCGCCAAGAAUUCCCUCACCUCCCGCGGGAAGUGAUGCGGAACGGCGGAUACUGGCCUCCCGUGCGCUCCCGCUCGCGGUUGGCCCAAAACGAACUCCGUUGGCAAUGGCAGCCACGGCACGCGGUGGUCGAAAGCACAGCUCCUCGAAAACCGUCGUGGCGUGCCUCGUUGAUGCGGAGCCUACGACCCCGACGCGUGCGUCCUCGCAAAGCGACCCCAGGUCAGGCGG
RNAcentral lists this ribosomal RNA (637 nucleotides) under Canotia wendtii. Its description in RNAcentral is "eukaryotic LSU rRNA". The stretch from base 245 to 400 matches the Rfam family "5.8S ribosomal RNA". The record is from RNAcentral. Lineage: Eukaryota; Viridiplantae; Streptophyta; Magnoliopsida; Celastrales; Celastraceae.